Molecule: ribosomal RNA, 1800 nt
Filed under: Triticum aestivum (bread wheat)
Lineage: Eukaryota; Viridiplantae; Streptophyta; Magnoliopsida; Poales; Poaceae
Description: partial small subunit ribosomal RNA
Source: RNAcentral
AUGGGAGCAGUCUUGUCCUCCGCCGACGCCGACGCCGUCGUCGACGCCAUAGUCAGCUUGUUGGCCAUCAAGAGCCACGCGACCCAACGACAUCGGUUACCGAUCGCUCCACCGGAUGCUACCGGCGACGACGAAGACCACUGCGUGACAGAUCGUUGGGAAGUUGUACCUAACAUGCACCUCGUCCUCAUGCCAUCAGGUGAACUACUGGAGGUCUGGAGGAACAGGGAACAUAUGGAUACUCCACUCAAGUAUCACAAGACUUACCAAAAAAGUGUGAACCAUAUAUGCCAUGAUGGAGCAGAUUUGAUUGGCGAAGAUAACAACGACAAGCUAAUUGAUGAGCUAGAGACAAACGAUGAAGAGGAUGAGCUCCCUCAAGUCGGCACCAAUGACCAAGAUGAGCCCACUGAGGCCGAAAACGAUGAAGACAAAGAUCUUUCUGAAGCCGACUGCAAAGACCACGACAUUGCACUAUCGCAGUUGCUCUGUGAAGGUGUUGACAUGCCUCAUCGACUUGUUGACGAGGUCAGCAUGAAUGAGGUCAUUGUCUUCAAGGUUGACGUUGAGAGGCAGAAGCUGGUGGAGCUAAGGGACAUUGGAGACCACGCGCUCUUCCUCGGUCUCAACACUACUACUAGAAGAGGCACGUUAAUGUCUCAAGAACUGGUGCUUGCGGCAAUGGCGGCCGCGCCCGAUGACAUUCUACCUCCCUUGGCCACCCCUGCUCAACUUUCGCCAACCAAAAGGGUGAAUGAAGAGCCGAGUUUUCCCCAAGCCUCGCCAGUGGUUUCGGCGAUGACGGCGGAAGACUGGUCCAAAUGGUCCACGCUUCCACCGAACCUCACCCGCCGCAUCGCCGACACCCUACUAUCCACCAACGACCUCGACUAUUACAUUCACUUCCGCGCUGUGAGCCCCAGCUGGCGCGCCGCUACAAAUGACCCCAUGAGGAACACCUCCGACCCUCGCUUCCGCCCGCGCCAGAAUAUCCAGCUGCUCAGCGACCACUAUGUCGUAGCCACCACUCGCAAUGGCUACUUGGUUCUGGCGAACAAAAGGCCUCCUCACGCGGCCAACAUCCUCAACCCUCUCACGGGCGUCGUCAUCCGUUUCGUGGCACCUGUGCCCCCAGAGGUGGGAUCAGCUGUUGUCGUCUCCUUUGUCGGCUCUGCUUUCGGGCUCACCUUAUUCAACGACUCAUCUCACAAGAUUUACGUGUCCUACCCCGACAGUGAGAGUUUCGUCGUCCACGAGGUUCAGCAAGUAGCUUAUGAUAGCCUCCAUAAGGUGGUCGUAGGCGGUGUCUACUCAGACACUAUAGGUCACGCCAUGAUUGCUCGGUUAUGUUGUUCGCUCAUGUCUCCAGAUGCAAACGACCUUUGUUUUCCAGUGGCUUUGGCUACCGAAAUGUUGCUCGUCGGGAGUGCAGAGGGAUCAAUCUUUGCUUUUAAAACAGACAUCGAGUUGGGUAUGCUCGUGGAUUUGUACACCAUCAACAACUAUGCCAUCUUCAAGGGUCAUCAGAGGUGCGUGGUUGUGGUUGUCGAUGAUGAUAAGUUCCCAGGCAUCAAGGUAAACUGUGUCUACUUCACUAAACAACUGGGUUCAUCCGAACAUAUCUUCAAGUGCAACAUCAAAGAUAGGAAAGUAGAGAGGAUCUCUAAAGCUGUCAAUUUCGUGAAACAGGACAAGAAGUUUGACCUCGUUGCUGACCGUCCUUUGAGGAUCAUCCACCUUCUCUCCAACUACACCAUCAACAUCCUGGACUCUCAGCUGGCCUUGCAACAUAUUCCAUAA